Molecule: long non-coding RNA, 237 nt
Filed under: Capsicum annuum
Lineage: Eukaryota; Viridiplantae; Streptophyta; Magnoliopsida; Solanales; Solanaceae
Description: long non-coding RNA (CANN_LNC016460)
Source: RNAcentral
UAAAUUCUAGCCCAAAAAUAUGGGGUGUUACAAUCGUCUAAGAUUUCCUAAAUCCAACCUUACCAAUCCACCAAAUUGUCAAGCUACCUUGAGUGGACAUGCUCCAAAUAAACUUCAAGGUAACAAAGCUAACUCUUGCACUCUAGUGAAUGAGGCUAUUAGCCAACUAAGUGUGAAUAAUAGCUUAUCUUUAGGUGAGCCUGAUGUUUCUUUACUUCAUGAUGAUAAUGUAUAACU